This 343-nucleotide ribosomal RNA is filed under the name Hymenolepis sp. GP-2016. Its description in RNAcentral is "bacterial SSU rRNA". The stretch from base 221 to 343 matches the Rfam family "Eukaryotic small subunit ribosomal RNA", at positions 731 to 853 of the family's 1831-position model. Lineage: Eukaryota; Metazoa; Platyhelminthes; Cestoda; Cyclophyllidea; Hymenolepididae. The record is from RNAcentral.
UUGCAUUAUCCACGCUCAUCUCAUGGGCUGGGUGUGUGGGCAUCGCGUGUGGGUGUACACUUAAACCGUAGUGUAUUGAGCUGGCGUGGCGAUGGUGUCACCUUUGAGCCAUGUCUGUGGUUUAACAGCCACAGGUGUAAUCGAGUGUCGGGCAGUGCUCUGCACCUGUUGUGGGGCCUAGCCGGCUCGUUUGCAUGCCAAUGAAUGCCCUUCAAAAGGUGUUCAUGGGCGGAUGGCACGUUUACUUUGAACAAAUUUGAGUGCUCAAAUCAGGCCGAUGUCGCCUGAAAAGUUUUGCAUGGAAUAAUGGAAUAGGACUUCGGUUCUAUUUCGUUGGUUUUCG